RNAcentral lists this ribosomal RNA (459 nucleotides) under uncultured bacterium. RNAcentral describes it as "partial 16S ribosomal RNA". It matches the Rfam family "Bacterial small subunit ribosomal RNA", at positions 338 to 795 of the family's 1533-position model. The record is from RNAcentral.
CCUACGGGAGGCAGCAGUGAGGAAUAUUGGUCAAUGGUCGGGAGACUGAACCAGCCAAGCCGCGUGAGGGAGGAAGGUACAGAGUAUCGUAAACCUCUUUUGUCAGGGAACAAAGACUGGGACGCGUCCCCGGAUGAGUGUACCUGAAGAAAAAGCAUCGGCUAACUCCGUGCCAGCAGCCGCGGUAAUACGGAGGAUGCGAGCGUUAUCCGGAUUUAUUGGGUUUAAAGGGGGCGCAGGCGGUCUGUUAAGUCAGCGGUCAAAGCCCGGGGGUCAACCCCGGCCCGCCGUUGAAACUGGCAGUCUCGAGUUGGAGAGAAGUAUGCGGAAUGCGCGGUGUAGCGGUGAAAGGCAUAGAUAUCGCGCAGAACUCCGAUUGCGAAGGCAGCAUGCCGGCUCCACACUGACGCUGAGGCACGAAAGCGUGGGUAUCGAACAGGAUUAGAUACCCGAGUAGUC